UCUCCGUAGGUGAACCUGCGGAGGGAUCAUUACAGAGUUCAUGCCCUCCGGGUAGAUCUCCCACCCAUUGCUAUAACUACUCUCGUUGCUUUGUCGGGCCGCUGGGCCCUGCCCGGCCGCCGGCCCCGGCUGGCGCGUGCCCGCCAGAGACCUCACAAACUCUGAAUGUUUGUGUCGUCCGAGUAACUAUACAAUCGUUAAAACUUUCAACAACGGAUCUCUUGGUUCUG
This 230-nucleotide unclassified non-coding RNA is filed under the name plant metagenome. RNAcentral describes it as "partial contains small subunit ribosomal RNA, internal transcribed spacer 1, and 5.8S ribosomal RNA". The record is from RNAcentral.